CAAGUCGAGCGCUUCACUUCGGUGAGGAGCGGCGGACGGGUUAGUAACGCGUGGGAACAUACCCUUUUCUAAGGAAUAGCCACUGGAAACGGUGAGUAAUACCUUAUACGCCCUUUGGGGGAAAGAUUUAUCGGUGAAGGAUUGGCCCGCGUUAGAUUAGUUAGUUGGUGGGGUAACGGCCUACCAAGACGACGAUCUAUAGCUGGUUUGAGAGGAUGAUCAGCAACACUGGGACUGAGACACGGCCCAG
Molecule: ribosomal RNA, 250 nt
Filed under: uncultured bacterium
Lineage: Bacteria
Description: partial 16S ribosomal RNA
Rfam family: Bacterial small subunit ribosomal RNA
Source: RNAcentral